This 255-nucleotide ribosomal RNA is filed under the name Triticum aestivum (bread wheat). RNAcentral's name for it is "partial small subunit ribosomal RNA". The record is from RNAcentral. Lineage: Eukaryota; Viridiplantae; Streptophyta; Magnoliopsida; Poales; Poaceae.
AUGGUGCUUUUCAAGGACCCGAGGGCUGUCUUUUUGGCGGCCAUUGUGGUGACCGCAAUGGUCAUGCCAUCAUGCUAUGUUGCACAAGGGGUAUGCAACCAGAUCUUACCAUGCACGGACAACACGUGCAAAGUCUACUGCCAGAAAUUGGGGUACAGGUUCUCCAAGGCACAGUGCAAGCCUGGGAACCUGAAGAAAGGUGUGUCCUAUGACAACUGCUGUUGUCUAAAGUUAGAACCCGUCAUCCACGGGUAG